GUGUCAGCAGCCGCGGUAAUACGGAGGAUCCAAGCGUUAUCCGGAAUCAUUGGGUUUAAAGGGUCCGUAGGCGGGCCUGUAAGUCAGUGGUGAAAUCUCCCCGCUCAACGGGGAAACUGCCAUUGAUACUGCAGGUCUUGAAUUAUUGGGAAGUAACUAGAAUAUGUAGUGUAGCGGUGAAAUGCUUAGAGAUUACAUGGAAUACCGAUUGCGAAGGCAGGUUACUACCGAUGGAUUGACGCUGAUGGACGAAAGCGUGGGGAGCGAACAGGAUUAGAUACCCUGGUAGUCC
RNAcentral lists this ribosomal RNA (292 nucleotides) under uncultured bacterium. RNAcentral describes it as "partial 16S ribosomal RNA". It matches the Rfam family "Bacterial small subunit ribosomal RNA", at positions 505 to 796 of the family's 1533-position model. The record is from RNAcentral.